RNAcentral lists this ribosomal RNA (253 nucleotides) under uncultured Sphingomonas sp. Its description in RNAcentral is "partial 16S ribosomal RNA". It matches the Rfam family "Bacterial small subunit ribosomal RNA", at positions 524 to 776 of the family's 1533-position model. Lineage: Bacteria; Pseudomonadati; Pseudomonadota; Alphaproteobacteria; Sphingomonadales; Sphingomonadaceae. The record is from RNAcentral.
UACGGAGGGGGCUAGCGUUGUUCGGAAUUACUGGGCGUAAAGCGUACGUAGGCGGUGAUUCAAGUCAGAGGUGAAAGCCCGGAGCUCAACUCCGGAAUUGCCUUUGAAACUAGAUCGCUUGAACGUCGGAGAGGUGAGUGGAAUUCCGAGUGUAGAGGUGAAAUUCGUAGAUAUUCGGAAGAACACCAGUGGCGAAGGCGGCUCACUGGACGACUGUUGACGCUGAGGUACGAAAGCGUGGGGAGCAAACAGG